RNAcentral lists this ribosomal RNA (318 nucleotides) under uncultured bacterium. RNAcentral describes it as "bacterial SSU rRNA". It matches the Rfam family "Bacterial small subunit ribosomal RNA", at positions 28 to 350 of the family's 1533-position model. The record is from RNAcentral.
GAUGAACGCUAGCGGCAGGCUUAACACAUGCAAGUCGAGGGGUAUUGGUUUUCGGACCAAGAGACCGGCGCACGGGUGCGUAACGCGUAUGCAAUCUACCUUUUGCAGAGGGAUAGCCCCAGAGAAAUUUGGAUUAAUACCUCAUAGUAUAGUACUUUGGCAUCAAGGAACUAUUAAAGUCACAACGGCAAAGAUGAGCAUGCGUCCAUUAGCUAGUUGGUAAGGUAACGGCUUACCAAGGCUACGAUGGGUAGGGGUCCUGAGAGGGAGAUCCCCCACACUGGUACUGAGACACGGACCAGACUCCUACGGGAGGCA